GAUGAACGCUAGCGGCGUGCCUAACACAUGCAAGUCGAACGUGAGGGUGACUUCGGUUGCCUGAAAGUGGCGGACGGGUGAGUAAAACGUAGGUAACCUGCCUUUGAGUGGGGGAUAACCAUUAGAAAUGAUGGCUAAUACCGCAUGGUUUUGUGAAGUAGGGAUAUUUCGCAAAUAAAGCUUUGGCGCUCGGAGAGGGG
This 200-nucleotide ribosomal RNA is filed under the name uncultured bacterium. Its description in RNAcentral is "partial 16S ribosomal RNA". It matches the Rfam family "Bacterial small subunit ribosomal RNA", at positions 28 to 229 of the family's 1533-position model. The record is from RNAcentral.